RNAcentral lists this long non-coding RNA (460 nucleotides) under Rattus norvegicus (Norway rat). RNAcentral describes it as "long non-coding RNA NONRATT017445". Lineage: Eukaryota; Metazoa; Chordata; Mammalia; Rodentia; Muridae. The record is from RNAcentral.
CAACUGGUGGUCCAUAACUCUCUGUAACUCACGUUCCGGGAAAUCCUCGGCCCUCUCCUGGCCUUUAUGGGUACCUAUACAUGUUCACGAGUGUGAGCAUGUGCGCGUACACACACACACACACACACACACACACACACACACACACACACGAAAUAAAUCCUUUAAAAAGCAACAUGAAUUUGUUGGUAGAGGAAAUUCAAGGGAACAUUAUAUUCAAAUUGUGCAUGCUAUUGCUCACUGCUCUGAGAGACAGCAAAAAGUUGGCCAGAAAAACAUGAAAAUGGGCAGUGUAGUCAGGAUUCGAUGCUGUAGCUAAGGUGGGAUGCACAGUAUUAGCACCACCAAGGAAAGGUGCUGAGGGUCAGACCUGGGCUGUGCAAAGUUCCAACCUGAGAAAAUGCAAGUUCGUUUGAAACAGGGAGUUUGAACUGGGAAGCCAUUACAAGGGUUCACUGCU